This 797-nucleotide ribosomal RNA is filed under the name Epizoanthus paguricola. RNAcentral describes it as "partial 16S ribosomal RNA". It matches the Rfam family "Bacterial large subunit ribosomal RNA", at positions 1677 to 2462 of the family's 2925-position model. Lineage: Eukaryota; Metazoa; Cnidaria; Anthozoa; Zoantharia; Epizoanthidae. The record is from RNAcentral.
UGGGGGAUAGUGAGAGGGAUAAAUUUUCUUAAGGAACUCGGCCAAAUCCUAAUGCCCAUCAGGGUAUAUAUCAGAACAUGGGCCUCGACUGUUUACCAAAAACAUAGCUCUCAGCCAAUAUGAAAGUAGAAGUAUGGAGGGUGAGGCCUGCCCAAUGGUUGUAUCUAAAAACGGUUGAUAAAAGUCGACUUCAUAAGGACAAUUGAAUGGCCGCGGUAACACUGACCGUGAUAAUGUAGCGUAAUCAAUAGCCAAUUAAUUGUUGGCCAGUAUGAAUGGCGUCACGAAGGCCCCACUGUCUUAAGAGAAUUCCCAGUGAAAUUGAAUUCGUAGUGAAGAUGCUACGUCCAAUUUGUCAGACGAAAAGACCCCAUUGAGCUUUACUGGAGACUUACAUUGCUCGGAUCAACUCUCGCCCCCCCCUUGGCGGGGGGUCGAAUUUAAAUGGAUAGCUUAGAUUAUGUGGUGUUAUAACCGUCGAUCAAGUAGUCCCUACGGGAUUGCCCCCGAAGGUUGACCUGUUUGGGUGAAUGAAACCCCACUCUUUUUUGUUAAAUGAGCUAACCCCUUAAAGGGGGACAAUGUAAGUUGGACAGUUUGGUUGGGGCGACCGCCUUUUAAAGAGUAACGAAGGUGUGCUUAAGGUACACAAUCAAUAACACAAGCCUGACUGCGAGGGGGACCCUCCGAGCAGACACCUAAAGUCUUCUCCCUUCCCCCCGAAGGUUAAAGACGAAUGGUGGGUUAUAGUGACCCGUUAAUUUAGAGUGGAAUAGUUAACGAUCAACGAAUAAAAG